CCUACGGGAGGCAGCAGUGGGGAAUAUUGCUCAAUGGGCGAAAGCCUGACGCAGCGACGUCGCGUGAGGGAUGAAGGUCUUCGGAUCGUAAACCCCUGUCAGCAGGGAAGAACGGUCACUGUGCUAAUCAGCAGUGAAUUGACGGUACCUGCAAAGGAAGCAUCGGCUUACUCCGUGCCAGCAGCCGCGGUAAUACGGAGGGGGCGUGCGUUAAUCGGAAUUACUGGGCGUAAAGCGCUCGUAGGCGGUAUGUCAAGUCAAGGGUGAAAUCCCCGAGCCCAACGGUGGAACUGCCUUUGAAACUGGCAAACUGGAGUGUGUGAGAGGAUAGUGGAAUUCCAGGUGUAGGAGUGAAAUCCGUAGAUAUCUGGCGGAACAUCAGUGGCGAAGGCGACUAUCUGGCACAUAACUGACGCUGAGGAGCGAAAGCGUGGGUAGCAAACAGGAUUAGAUACCCGGGUAGUC
RNAcentral lists this ribosomal RNA (465 nucleotides) under uncultured bacterium. Its description in RNAcentral is "partial 16S ribosomal RNA". It matches the Rfam family "Bacterial small subunit ribosomal RNA", at positions 338 to 795 of the family's 1533-position model. The record is from RNAcentral.